RNAcentral lists this transfer RNA (68 nucleotides) under Eremias argus. Its description in RNAcentral is "tRNA-Gly". Lineage: Eukaryota; Metazoa; Chordata; Lepidosauria; Squamata; Lacertidae. The record is from RNAcentral.
ACUUUUUUAAUAUAAACAUUAUAGAUGACUUCCAAUCAUCCAAUCUCAGCCAACCCUGAGAAAAAGUA